This 398-nucleotide ribosomal RNA is filed under the name uncultured Helicobacter sp. RNAcentral describes it as "bacterial SSU rRNA". It matches the Rfam family "Bacterial small subunit ribosomal RNA", at positions 65 to 493 of the family's 1533-position model. The record is from RNAcentral. Lineage: Bacteria; Pseudomonadati; Campylobacterota; Epsilonproteobacteria; Campylobacterales; Helicobacteraceae.
AACGAUGAAGCUUCUAGCUUGCUAGAAGUGGAUUAGUGGCGCACGGGUGAGUAAUGCAUAGGUUAUGUGCCCCAUAGUCUGGGAUAGCCACUAGAAAUGGUGAUUAAUACUGGAUACUCCCUACGGGGGAAAGUUUUUCGCUAUGGGAUCAGCCUAUGUCCUAUCAGCUUGCUGGUGAGGUAAUGGCUCACCAAGGCUAUGACGGGUAUCCGGCCUGAGAGGGUGAUCGGACACACUGGAACUGAGACACGGUCCAGACUCCUACGGGAGGCAGCAGUAGGGAAUAUUGCUCAAUGGGCGAAAGCCUGAAGCAGCAACGCCGCGUGGAGGAUGAAGGUCUUAGGAUUGUAAACUCCUUUUGUUAGAGAAGAUUAUGACGGUAUCUAACGAAUAAGCAC